GGCGUAAGCGCACGCAGGCGGUCUGUCAAGUCGGAUGUGAAAUCCCCGGGCUCAACCUGGGAACUGCAUUCGAAACUGGCAGGCUAGAGUCUUGUAGAGGGGGGUAGAAUUCCAGGUGUAGCGGUGAAAUGCGUAGAGAUCUGGAGGAAUACCGGUGGCGAAGGCGGCCCCCUGGACAAAGACUGACGCUCAGGUGCGAAAGCGUGGGGAGCAAACAGGAUUAGAUACCCUGGUAGUCCACGCCGUAAACGAUGUCGACUUGGAGGUUGUUCCCUUGAGGAGUGGCUUCCGGAGCUAACGCGUUAAGUCGACCGCCUGGGGAGUACGGCCGCAAGGUUAAAACUCAAAUGAAUUGACGGGGGCCCGCACAAGCGGUGGAGCAUGUGGUUUAAUUCGAUGCAACGCGAAGAACCUUACCUACUCUUGACAUCCACGGAAUUCAGCAGAGAUGCUUUAGUGCCUUCGGGAACCGUGAGACAGGUGCUGCAUGGCUGUCGUCAGCUCGUGUUGUGAAAUGUUGGGUUAAGUCCCGCAACGAGCGCAACCCUUAUCCUUUGUUGCCAGCGGUUCGGCCGGGAACUCAAAGGAGACUGCCAGUGAUAAACUGGAGGAAAGUGGGGAUGACGUCCAGUCAUCAUGGCCCUUACGAGUAGGGCUACACACGUGCUACAAUGGCGCAUACAAAGAGAAGCGACCUCGCGAGAGCAAGCGGACCUCAUAAAGUGCGUCGUAGUCCGGAUCGGAGUCUGCAACUCGACUCCGUGAAGUCGGAAUCGCUAGUAAUCGUAAAUCAAAUGCUACGGUGAAUACGUU
This 813-nucleotide ribosomal RNA is filed under the name Buttiauxella warmboldiae. RNAcentral describes it as "bacterial SSU rRNA". It matches the Rfam family "Bacterial small subunit ribosomal RNA", at positions 557 to 1372 of the family's 1533-position model. Lineage: Bacteria; Pseudomonadati; Pseudomonadota; Gammaproteobacteria; Enterobacterales; Enterobacteriaceae. The record is from RNAcentral.